Molecule: ribosomal RNA, 497 nt
Filed under: uncultured bacterium
Lineage: Bacteria
Description: partial 16S ribosomal RNA
Rfam family: Bacterial small subunit ribosomal RNA
Source: RNAcentral
GAUGAACGCUGGCAGCGUGCCUAAUACAUGCAAGUCGAGCGAACAGAUGAGGAGCUUGCUCCUCUGACGUUAGCGGCGGACGGGUGAGUAACACGUGGAUAACCUACCUAUAAGACUGGGAUAACUUCGGGAAACCGGAGCUAAUACCGGAUAAUAUAUUGAACCGCAUGGUUCAAUAGUGAAAGACGGUUUUGCUGUCACUUAUAGAUGGAUCCGCGCCGCAUUAGCUAGUUGGUAAGGUAACGGCUUACCAAGGCAACGAUGCGUAGCCGACCUGAGAGGGUGAUCGGCCACACUGGAACUGAGACACGGUCCAGACUCCUACGGGAGGCAGCAGUAGGGAAUCUUCCGCAAUGGGCGAAAGCCUGACGGAGCAACGCCGCGUGAGUGAUGAAGGUCUUCGGAUCGUAAAGCUCUGUUAUUAGGGAAGAACAAAUGUGUAAGUAACUAUGCACGUCUUGACGGUACCUAAUCAGAAAGCCACGGCUAACUACGUG